AGGACGAACGCUGGCGGCGUGCUUAACACAUGCAAGUCGAACGCUGAAACCGGGUGCUUGCACUGGGUGGAUGAGUGGCGAACGGGUGAGUAAUACGUGAGUAACCUGCCCUUGACUCUGGGAUAAGCCUGGGAAACUGGGUCUAAUACUGGAUACGACAUGUCAUCGCAUGGUGGUGUGUGGAAAGGGUUUUACUGGUUUUGGAUGGGCUCACGGCCUAUCAGCUUGUUGGUGGGGUAAUGGCUCACCAAGGCGACGACGGGUAGCCGGCCUGAGAGGGUGACCGGCCACACUGGGACUGAGACACGGCCCAGACUCCUACGGGAGGCAGCAGUGGGGAAUAUUGCACAAUGGGCGAAAGCCUGAUGCAGCGACGCCGCGUGAGGGAUGACGGCCUUCGGGUUGUAAACCUCUUUCAGCACGGAAGAAGCGAAAGUGACGGUACGUGCAGAAGAAGCGCCGGCUAACUACGUGCCAGCAGCCGCGGUAAUACGUAGGGCGCAAGCGUUGUCCGGAAUUAUUGGGCGUAAAGAGCUCGUAGGCGGUUUGUCGCGUCUGCUGUGAAAGCCCGGGGCUUAACCCCGGGUGUGCAGUGGGUACGGGCAGACUUGAGUGCAGUAGGGGAGACUGGAAUUCCUGGUGUAGCGGUGAAAUGCGCAGAUAUCAGGAGGAACACCGAUGGCGAAGGCAGGUCUCUGGGCUGUUACUGACGCUGAGGAGCGAAAGCAUGGGGAGCGAACAGGAUUAGAUACCCUGGUAGUCCAUGCCGUAAACGUUGGGCACUAGGUGUGGGGAACAUUCCACGUUUUCCGCGCCGUAGCUAACGCAUUAA
Molecule: ribosomal RNA, 832 nt
Filed under: Kocuria rhizophila
Lineage: Bacteria; Bacillati; Actinomycetota; Actinomycetes; Micrococcales; Micrococcaceae
Description: bacterial SSU rRNA
Rfam family: Bacterial small subunit ribosomal RNA
Source: RNAcentral